AACGCAGAUUGCGCCCAUUGGCAUUCCUUUGGGCACACUUGUUCGAGCGCCGGUUGAACAAUAAGGCUCCGCCUUGCGUUGAACCUUCCUGGCAAAGGAACGUUCCAAACUUCUGGGCGACCGCCGUGGCCUGAAACGCAACACGCUGCGUCCGCAGGACUUUCGGCGCGCCGCCAGUUUACCGUCUCGCAUGGCCUCGGAUCAAGUGGGGAUACCCGCUAAACUUAA
This 228-nucleotide unclassified non-coding RNA is filed under the name uncultured fungus. RNAcentral describes it as "sequence contains ITS2". The record is from RNAcentral. Lineage: Eukaryota; Fungi.